Balaenoptera ricei (Rice's whale) is the source of this 1071-nucleotide long non-coding RNA. RefSeq lists it as uncharacterized. The record is from RefSeq and is a predicted model, not a curated record. Lineage: Eukaryota; Metazoa; Chordata; Mammalia; Artiodactyla; Balaenopteridae. The transcript has 3 exons.
AUCUGGCACAUAUAUCAUUUUUCUGGGGGAGGGUUCCUUGACCCCCAAAAGAUUAAGAACCACUAGUCUAGGGAAAGCCAGACUUGUCCAAAACUUCAAAACAUGAUCAGAGAUGCACACUAUUUGUGCUCAAUGAGUAUGAAUGGAUGGAUGGAUGGGUGGAUGGAUGGAUGCCACAUGGAAGAAUGUAUGGGAGGCAGAAAGAAGGGAGUAACCAGUUCUGCCUGGGGCAGGAGGAGAGCAAAGAUUCCCAGGGGCAGCUGACCCUUUUGAAGUGAGACUUGAAGGCUGAAUAGAACUUGCCAAGCAGACAAAAGGAGAUAGGCAUACCAGACAGGGGCAAGAGCAGAUGCAAAGACCCAGGUAUGAGCGAACAUGGGGAUGGUGUGUUUCAGCACCGCAGGGGUUAGUUCACCAUGGCUGGCCACAGGUGCACAUGGGUAAGAGGAGGGGGAGGGACGUUUUCUCCUUUAAAAAGCCCACAGGUUCCAAGGAGGUAUCCUGAUGGGAACCACUUCUUGAACAAGCAGGUAUCUCCCCUCCCCCCACUAACACUUAACAAUUGCCCCAGUCUCCAGGUGGGGGGAGGGGGAGGUCCUAAAGAUAAUCCCAGGCAAGUGUAGAGCAUCUGGUCACUUACCACCUCCUUUCCCAUCCUCCUUUGCUCCUGCAGUCUGUUCCUGAGAGGUCAGUGUUACCAGCCAGCCGCCCCACUUUCCAGAGGAGAAAUGGGCUCCAGAGGCCAGGUGACUUGCCCGAGGACGCUUGACCCAGAAGUUCAUGCUGCCAAAGCUCAUCACUUUCCUUCCAUGGAGGCAAGAUGGGGAGCCAAUCUCUUCUCCAGAAAAGCGCAUUGGCCAAGUCCCAAGAUGAUGGGCGUCCAUCCGCCAUCAAGCAGGAAAAUAUGAAACAGGUUGCUCUGAAAAGACCCGAAUUCUCCAAGCAGCCAGGCUGGUCCUCUCUCUCAAUCUGUCCCCUGGCCCGGCCGGCUGUGCAGUCCCAGCUCCUGUCCUCCCUCAGCCCCCAGCCCCACUUCCAGGUCCGGGGCUGUGGGAGGGGUCCUGGCCAUGC